RNAcentral lists this ribosomal RNA (434 nucleotides) under uncultured Roseburia sp. RNAcentral describes it as "partial 16S ribosomal RNA". It matches the Rfam family "Bacterial small subunit ribosomal RNA", at positions 341 to 792 of the family's 1533-position model. The record is from RNAcentral. Lineage: Bacteria; Bacillati; Bacillota; Clostridia; Lachnospirales; Lachnospiraceae.
ACGGGAGGCGGCAGUGGGGAAUAUUGCACAAUGGGGGAAACCCUGAUGCAGCGACGCCGCGUGAGUGAUGAAGUAUUUCGGUAUGUAAAGCUCUAUCAGCAGGGAAGAUAAUGACGGUACCUGACUAAGAAGCACCGGCUAAAUACGUGCCAGCAGCCGCGGUACUACGUAUGGUGCAAGCGUUAUCCGGAUUUACUGGGUGUAAAGGGAGCGUAGGCGGUACGGCAAGUCUGAAGUGAAAUCCCAGGGCUCAACCUUGGAACUGCUUUGGAAACUGUCGAACUAGAGUGUCGGAGAGGUAAGUGGAAUUUCUAGUGUAGCGGUGAAAUGCGUAGAUAUUAGGAGGAACACCAGUGGCGAAGGCGGCUUACUGGACGAUUACUGACGCUGAGGCUCGAAAGCGUGGGGAGCAAACAGGAUUAGAUACCCUGGUA